RNAcentral lists this transfer RNA (77 nucleotides) under Deltaproteobacteria bacterium. RNAcentral's name for it is "tRNA-Pro". It matches the Rfam family "tRNA". From Rfam's summary of the family: Transfer RNA (tRNA) molecules are approximately 80 nucleotides in length. Their secondary structure includes four short double-helical elements and three loops (D, anti-codon, and T loops). Further hydrogen bonds mediate the characteristic L-shaped molecular structure. tRNAs have two regions of fundamental functional importance: the anti-codon, which is responsible for specific mRNA codon recognition, and the 3' end, to which the tRNAs corresponding amino acid is attached (by aminoacyl-tRNA synthetases). tRNAs cope with the degeneracy of the genetic code in two manners: having more than one tRNA (with a specific anti-codon) for a particular amino acid; and 'wobble' base-pairing, i.e. permitting non-standard base-pairing at the 3rd anti-codon position. The record is from RNAcentral. Lineage: Bacteria; Pseudomonadati; Myxococcota; Myxococcia.
CGGGGUAUGGCGCAGCCUGGCAGCGCGCUUGUCUGGGGGACAAGAGGUCGCAGGUUCAAGUCCUGCUACCCCGACCA